AGGAAGUUACUGAAGAUCUUGCUGAGGAUGACACUCCAGGUGAGUUGUUUUUUAAAGAAGCCCUUGGGUGAGGCAAGUAGUAGUGGAUCAGACAUGACCGAGUCUUCUGCUGAUUCCAAGGCUCCCAUUGUGAAGAGGGUUGUGGUUGGGCAUGUGUCCCCAAUGCACUACUGGCCUUGGCAGGUCUCUCUCCAGUACAAGUCUGGCAGUAGUUACCACCACACCUGUGGAGGCGUUCUGAUCAAGAGGAACUGGGUGCUGACUGCUGCUCACUGUGUGGACUCUAGGUACAG
This is a long non-coding RNA of Alosa sapidissima (American shad), 293 nucleotides long. RefSeq lists it as uncharacterized. The transcript has 4 exons. NCBI's taxonomy places the organism in Eukaryota, Metazoa, Chordata, Actinopteri, Clupeiformes, Clupeidae. The record is from RefSeq and is a predicted model, not a curated record.